RNAcentral lists this transfer RNA (71 nucleotides) under Parcubacteria group bacterium CG2_30_45_37. RNAcentral describes it as "tRNA-Pro". It matches the Rfam family "tRNA". From Rfam's summary of the family: Transfer RNA (tRNA) molecules are approximately 80 nucleotides in length. Their secondary structure includes four short double-helical elements and three loops (D, anti-codon, and T loops). The record is from RNAcentral.
CGGGAUAUAGUAUAAUGGUAGUACGCGAGCAUGGGGUGCUUGUAGCCCCGGUCCGAUUCCGGGUAUCCCGA